GCGGCGGAGGGUGAGUAACACGUGGGUAACCUACCUAUAAGACUGGGAUAACUUCGGGAAACCGGAGCUAAUACCGGAUACCAUUUGGAACCGCAUGGUUCUAAAGUGAAAGAUGGUUUUGCUAUCACUUAUAGAUGGACCCGCGCCGUAUUAGCUAGUUGGUAAGGUAACGGCUUACCAAGGCAACGAUACGUAGCCGACCUGAGAGGGUGAUCGGCCACACUGGAACUGAGACACGGUCCAGACUCCUACGGGAGGCAGCAGUAGGGAAUCUUCCGCAAUGGGCGAAAGCCUGACGGAGCAACGCCGCGUGAGUGAUGAAGGGUUUCGGCUCGUAAAACUCUGUUAUUAGGGAAGAACAAAUGUGUAAGUAACUGUGCACAUCUUGACGGUACCUAAUCAGAAAGCCACGGCUAACUACGUGCCAGCAGCCGCGGUAAUACGUAGGUGGCAAGCGUUAUCCGGAAUUAUUGGGCGUAAAGCGCGCGUAGGCGGUUUCUUAAGUCUGAUGUGAAAGCCCCACGGCUCAACCGUGGAGGGUCAUUGGAAACUGGGAAACUUGAGUGCAGAAGAGGAAAGUGGAAUUCCAUGUGUAGCGGUGAAAUGCGCAGAGAUAUGGAGGAACACCAGUGGCGAAGGCGACUUUCUGGUCUGUAACUGACGCUGAUGUGCGAAAGCGUGGGGAUCAAACAGGAUUAGAUACCCUGGUAGUCCACGCCGUAAACGAUGAGUGCUAAGUGUUAGGGGGUUUCCGCCCCUUAGUGCUGCAGCUAACGCAUUAAGCACUCCGCCUGGGGAGUACGACCGCAAGGUUGAAACUCAAAGGAAUUGACGGGGACCCGCACAAGCGGUGGAGCAUGUGGUUUAAUUCGAAGCAACGCGAAGAACCUUACCAAAUCUUGACAUCCUUUGAAAACUCUAGAGAUAGAGCCUUCCCCUUCGGGGGACAAAGUGACAGGUGGUGCAUGGUUGUCGUCAGCUCGUGUCGUGAGAUGUUGGGUUAAGUCCCGCAACGAGCGCAACCCUUAAGCUUAGUUGCCAUCAUUAAGUUGGGCACUCUAGGUUGACUGCCGGUGACAAACCGGGAGGAAGGUGGGGAUGACGUCAAAUCAUCAUGCCCCUUAUGAUUUGGGCUACACACGUGCUACAAUGGACAAUACAAAGGGGCAGCUAAACCGSGAGGUCAUGCAAAUCCCAUAAAGUUGUUCUCAGUUCGGAUUGUAGU
Molecule: ribosomal RNA, 1225 nt
Filed under: Staphylococcus xylosus
Lineage: Bacteria; Bacillati; Bacillota; Bacilli; Caryophanales; Staphylococcaceae
Description: bacterial SSU rRNA
Rfam family: Bacterial small subunit ribosomal RNA
Source: RNAcentral